This is a non-coding RNA of Doryrhamphus excisus (bluestripe pipefish), 1674 nucleotides long. The record is from RefSeq and is a predicted model, not a curated record. Lineage: Eukaryota; Metazoa; Chordata; Actinopteri; Syngnathiformes; Syngnathidae.
ACAACCAGCAAUGGCGCUGUUGAUUCAGUCUCAACACGUUCAUAGCCUGAAAAACAUGAACUUAGCCUGCUAACAACCAAACAACUCCUCUUCUAAGGAGCAUUGUUGUGCUAAUAUGACACUGGCAUGAAAAAAAGAUGAUUAAGAAUAUCAAGAAAGAGAUUUUCGAGUGUAACACAGAACGUGAAUACGGUCAUAUUUCAGCCAAAGUGGAGGACAGGCUGACCUCAGUCAUCACUUCGGCAACACCCUAUGAGCGAUUAGAAGACAACUCCUGAAUAGACACCGGUCGGGACUUCAUGUUUUCCAUGUCUGGAGGCCUGCUUGGACCAGCCUCUCAUCACCCUUGCAUCCUGGUCAUAGCGCUCUCAGAGCCGGAUGGGUACUUUCCUGUUGAAGCGCCACAUCAGAGGAGAUGCUCCUCUCCUGAUCUCCACCCAAAGCGUCUCGUUUGCGAAGGCAGACAGUCGAGUGUGCGUCUUGUCUGAUGCUUGAACGCAAUGAAACUGCCAUCGGCCAUAAGUCCUCAAGCCCAGAUGUCCCCGAAGAGAACCAUUACUGCCUUUCAGUCAAAAGAAGGAUCUCCGAAAAGCCCAAGCACUCUUCAUAAAUCAGAUGAAAUAUUUUGAGAGUCUGACAGGUGGAAUUUUGGUGGUAGUCUGGAAGAAGACAAGAGGAGUAGUCAAUUCCAUUUCAAACAAACAGUGGUACUUUGAAUCAGCAUGUUCUAUGAAUUGGACCUGGAUCAGAACAACAUCCAAGACGAGGACCUCGGAGAGUGAAAAAAACUUGCACUGCACCAAAUGUCGUGUGCCAGGUGUGACAUGAAGCAAGAGCAUUUGCAAAGUGUGCCCGCCACCCUCCCUCACCUCCAGCCUGGGAACGGAAGCAGCGAACCUCUGGAGAAAACAAGCAGACAAUCAGAAAUGUAAACUUUUACCGUCUUCAUUUGAUGCCAAGCCGAAAACAGAGCAGUCGGAACAGUGAACAGUUCUCCGGUUGGAUGCAUUUCCUGAUUUCCAGAAAUGUAAACGUUUACCGUCUUCAUUGGAUGCCAAGCCAAAAACCCUUUGCAGUCGGAACAGUUCUCCGGUUGGAUGCAUUUCCUGAUUUCCAGUAUCUGGUCAUGACUAAUUGAUCGUGUUCUAAAAAAGAGCCUCUGUUGUCACCAUUUGGGCUGUUGAAGUUACUGGCAAAGGGGACGGUGUGCAGCAGGAGUGUGCAUGGGGUGAGGUGAAAGAAAGACAGGACGGCUGGACUGCAGGUUCUCGUCGUUUUUCCACACAUGACGACAACACAUGAUCUCCAUGACGACCGUGUUACUGAGGAUGUAAGGAAGUGUCAGAUUCAGUGACCCAACCAAAACCGGGUUAUCCAUGGAUCCUAAAAAUGAGCUGCAUCGCUUCAUGAAGGACGGCUGAUUCAAGGUGUUGCUGCUGGUGCACGGAAGUCAUCUGCAGCACCCCGAGAGCCUGGGCCGAAGGGGGAUGAGCGCAUUGUCUCUGGCUUCCAUGUUCCCCUGAUGAACUGCUGAUAACCUCCCAGACAUGGAGCGCUCCAGCCGGCCUGGAGAACACAUACACGCAUCUUCCACGACACCUCUAAAGCCUUCUACACUUUGAAAGCCACUGUUCUACAACUUGAACAAAGUCUGCUAAGAAGAAUGGAAACGAC